Long non-coding RNA from Limulus polyphemus (Atlantic horseshoe crab), 1478 nucleotides. RefSeq lists it as uncharacterized. The transcript is spliced from 2 exons. The record is from RefSeq and is a predicted model, not a curated record. NCBI's taxonomy places the organism in Eukaryota, Metazoa, Arthropoda, Merostomata, Xiphosura, Limulidae.
UCCCUUUUUUGCUGACUGAUUUGCACAUAAUGGUCGAGAAUUCCUCACCAAGCAUGGGACGCCGAAGUAACUAGACACCCCCGCCUAGUAACGGCUUCGGAAAAAAGGGGCGUUGGUAGGUUACUGUAUGGUUUAACAGUUCGCUGAGGCUCUUCUUAGACGCCAGAAUGCAGCUGUCUUGGCUGGGUGAACUUCCUAUGUGCUGUGUUGGUUGGUAGAUUUUCACUGGGAAAAGCUGGGGUAACUGGUUGAAGCAAGGAACCUUCUUGCAACUGAGGACAGUUUCAACCACAUAUUGGUAGUAACAGAGUCCAAUACAGUACCACAAGACGUCAGUUUGAGACUUCUGAUUGCCAAAACUGACCUGAAGACGAGAUAUGAAGAGACAGAUGUUAUAGUACCUCGGCAAGUGGAGGGCUAGUACAUUACAAUGAUGUCUGAUGACAUUGAUGUAUUCGUCUCGCUCAUUCAUCACUACUUGCUCAGGAAACUAGCAGCUCUCUUAUUAUGAAAGGGGCCAGUUUAUAUGGAAGGGACUAGUUUGCAUUGCACAAUUUUUGAGAUAGGAGCUACAGCAAAGAAGCGUGUAACUAUUGUAUCACAACUUCUGUCCCUACACGUUCUCUCUGGCCGUAAGACGGAAGCGUACAUGUUGGGUGUGGAAAAGCAACAGUUGUCAAAGUGCUUCUGAUAGGCCACAAAUUUGUCAGCUUUGGAAACCUGGAAUCAAUUGUGGACGAAGUUAUUGAUGAAGGGACUGCAUUUUUUCGCAGCGUGUUAUAGAAGCAAAGACAUCGACAAUACGUCUGAUAUUCGGUAUACAAUAUGAUUGAUCAAAACUACAAAGAAGAACCUCAGUAAAAUUCUGGAAUUGAAUUUCGUACCAUCAGCGUCGGAAUUAUUCGCACACAAACGCCAAGCGAGAACAUCUUCAAACCUGCAUUGGAUCCAGACCCGCCUAACCUUGACUUCGAGGAUUUGGGGUGGGUCAAGGAUAUACAGUCCAAAUCUCUUUCGCCCGUGACGAUGCAUACUAAUGAGAUGUGGAUGCGCAUCUGAACAUCCCUGUUCGACCACGAUAUGUGGCCGCUACAGUUAGUUAACAUAGUUUUCUGUAACAUGACAAAUAAUUCCACAACAGGUGUAGAAAGACGCUACUGAGUCGAGUCAAAGAGUAUUCCAGCUAUGACCUCAAAGAAACUUAUGAAUCAGAUAAAGUUUGAAUUGGCUUUUUAAUCACAGGUCUAAUGUUUUACAGACACCUCGAUCUAUUUAAUAGUAUCAAUCCAUUAUAUCCGUCAUCAUUCAUCUGUCUAUUAGCCUUUUAUUUGUUUGCUUGUCUUUUCCAUGGAUAAUUCAUUUGGUCACUAAUUUUGGAAAAUUAUGGUCUCUGGGUGUCUAUUGUCAUCUCAAAGUAGUUUAAAAAUUCACGAAAUCUACUAUUUUGUAAGCUUGUGCCAAUAAAUAGCUCCAACUGA